Non-coding RNA from Pelobates cultripes (western spadefoot toad), 212 nucleotides. The record is from the annotation of a GenBank genome assembly. NCBI's taxonomy places the organism in Eukaryota, Metazoa, Chordata, Amphibia, Anura, Pelobatidae.
GAUGCAAUAUUCUAUGGUUUGUUCAAUCUAUGACAUCUUUAAAUUUUAUCUUCAUUUCCAUUUACAGAUACAACCAGUGCUAUGAAGUAUUCAUUAAGGACAGAUCUUAAAUCAAAGAAAAGAAGGGGAGCGGUCAGGGAUAGGAGUUUAGUGUAACACCCUCAUCCUGUACUUAACCCACAAAAAAAGGUCACCUAGACUGGAAAAGUAGG